CGUAGGGUGCAAGCGUUAAUCGGAAUUACUGGGCGUAAAGCGUGCGCAGGCGGUCGUGCAAGACAGGUGGUGAAAUCCCCGGGCUUAACCUGGGAACCGCACUUGUGACUGCACGGCUGGAGUACGGCAGAGGGGGAUGGAAUUCCGCGUGUAGCAGUGAAAUGCGUAGAUAUGCGGAGGAACACCGAUGGCGAAGGCAGUCCCCUGGGCCUGUACUGACGCUCAUGCACGGAAAGCGUAGGGGAGCAAACAGGAUUAGAUACCCUGGUAGUCCACGCCCUAAACGAUGUCGAACUGGUUCGUUGGGAAGGUUUCUUCUCAGUAACGUAGCUAACGCGUGAAGUUGACCGCCUGGGGAGUACGGCCGCAAAGGUUGA
RNAcentral lists this ribosomal RNA (377 nucleotides) under uncultured organism. RNAcentral's name for it is "bacterial SSU rRNA". It matches the Rfam family "Bacterial small subunit ribosomal RNA", at positions 526 to 897 of the family's 1533-position model. The record is from RNAcentral.